RNAcentral lists this ribosomal RNA (324 nucleotides) under uncultured eukaryote. RNAcentral's name for it is "partial 18S ribosomal RNA". It matches the Rfam family "Eukaryotic small subunit ribosomal RNA", at positions 1470 to 1796 of the family's 1831-position model. The record is from RNAcentral.
CCCUUAGAUGUUCUGGGCUGCACGCGCGCUACACUGAAGCUAUCAACACGUUUUCCCUCCCUGAGAAGGGCGGGUAACCUUUUGAAUCAGCUUCGUGGUAGGGAUCGGGGCUUGCAAUUGUUCCCCAUGAACCAGGAAUUCCUAGUAGACGCGAGUCAUAAGCUCGCAUCGAUUAAGUCCCUGCCCUUUGUACACACCGCCCGUCGCUACUACCGAUUGAACGUUUUAGUGAGGCAUUUGGACCGACGCAUCUCAGUUUAACCGCUGGUUUGUGUUGGAAAGACUUCCAAACUUGAGCGUUUAGAGGAAGUAAAAGUCGUAACA